RNAcentral lists this ribosomal RNA (460 nucleotides) under uncultured bacterium. Its description in RNAcentral is "partial 16S ribosomal RNA". It matches the Rfam family "Bacterial small subunit ribosomal RNA", at positions 338 to 795 of the family's 1533-position model. The record is from RNAcentral.
CCUACGGGCGGCAGCAGUGAGGAAUAUUGGUCAAUGGGCUUACGCCUGAACCAGCCAAGUCGCGUGAGGGAAGACUGCCCUAUGGGUGGUAAACUUCUUUUGUCAGGGCGCAACGCCGGCUACGUGUAGCCGGACUGAGAGUACCUGAAGAAAAAGCAUCGGCUAACUCCGUGCCAGCAGCCGCGGUAAUACGGGGGAUGCGAGCGUUAUCCGGAUUUGUUGGGUUUAAUGGGAGCGUAGGCGGAAUGCCAAGUCAGCGGUAAAAUCGCGGGGAUCAACCUCGCUCCGCAGUUGAAACUGGCGUUCUUGAGUGGGCGAGAGGUAUGCGGAAUGCGUGGUGUAGCGGUGAAAUGCAUAGAUAUCACGCAGAACCCCGAUUGCGAAGGCAGACUGCCAAGCCAUGACUGACGCUGAUGCACGAAAGCGUGGGGAUCAAACAGGAUUAGAUACCCCUGUAGUC